Molecule: ribosomal RNA, 373 nt
Filed under: uncultured organism
Description: bacterial SSU rRNA
Rfam family: Bacterial small subunit ribosomal RNA
Source: RNAcentral
CGUAGGGUGCAAGCGUUAAUCGGAAUUACUGGGCGUAAAGCGUGCGCAGGCGGUUAUGUAAGACAGAGGUGAAAUCCCCGGGCUCAACCUGGGAACUGCCUUUGUUGACUGCAUAGCUAGAGUACGGCAGAGGGGGAUGGAAUUCCGCGUGUAGCAGUGAAAUGCGUAGAUAUGCGGAGGAACACCGAUGGCGAAGGCAAUCCCCCUGGGCCUGUACUGACGCUCAUGCACGAAAGCGUGGGGAGCAAACAGGAUUAGAUACCCUGGUAGUCCACGCCCUAAACGAUGUCAACUGGUUGUUGGGUCUUCACUGACUCAGUAACGAAGCUAACGCGUGAAGUUGACCGCCUGGGGAGUACGGACCGCAAGGUUG